CAGCAGUGGGGAAUAUUGCACAAUGGGCGCAAGCCUGAUGCAGCCAUGCCGCGUGUGUGAAGAAGGCCUUCGGGUUGUAAAGCACUUUCAGCGGGGAGGAAGGCGAUAAGGUUAAUAACCUUGUCGAUUGACGUUACCCGCAGAAGAAGCACCGGCUAACUCCGUGCCAGCAGCCGCGGUAAUACGGAGGGUGCAAGCGUUAAUCGGAAUUACUGGGCGUAAAGCGCACGCAGGCGGUCUGUCAAGUCGGAUGUGAAAUCCCCGGGCUCAACCUGGGAACUGCAUUCGAAACUGGCAGGCUAGAGUCUUGUAGAGGGGGGUAGAAUUCCAGGUGUAGCGGUGAAAUGCGUAGAGAUCUGGAGGAAUACCGGUGGCGAAGGCGGCCCCCUGGACAAAGACUGACGCUCAGGUGCGAAAGCGUGGGGAGCAAACAGGAUUAGA
RNAcentral lists this ribosomal RNA (441 nucleotides) under uncultured Enterobacteriaceae bacterium. RNAcentral describes it as "bacterial SSU rRNA". It matches the Rfam family "Bacterial small subunit ribosomal RNA", at positions 349 to 782 of the family's 1533-position model. Lineage: Bacteria; Pseudomonadati; Pseudomonadota; Gammaproteobacteria; Enterobacterales; Enterobacteriaceae. The record is from RNAcentral.